RNAcentral lists this long non-coding RNA (480 nucleotides) under Equus caballus (horse). RNAcentral's name for it is "lncRNA (ENSECAG00000053022.1)". The record is from RNAcentral. Lineage: Eukaryota; Metazoa; Chordata; Mammalia; Perissodactyla; Equidae.
CAGGAGGUAGGGAAGGGCGGUGGAACAGUAGGAGAAUUACGGAGCGCCAUUAAGGACAAGUUUGGCCACGUGACUCUCAUGGGAGUUUCCUGGAGCGAACGUCGGUCAGCUUUGGCUGGUCAGAAGCCAAAGGAACAAAGGUGCAAAACUGGUCUUGACUCUUGCUUGACAUGCUGCGCCCCAGCCGAUAUCCAAACCCGCAAAAUGAGCUGCUGCCAACCUUGGAUCCUUGAGGCGAGCGUCAGGUUCCCUUUUAUUCAGCUUUUGCGCGUUUGCCUCUGCUGUUUUACUUCCCGUUUAUUCUUAGCAGUGAAUGAUGCUAAAGGGGAUCAGGGUACAUCAAAAUACACCACUUCGUCAUGAGGAUUAUUUUGAGCUGAAGACAAUUGAGAAUCAACAGAUACAGGAAGAGUCCUCUAGAACUUCCCUUAUCUGCCUAAAAGCAGGGCAUGAAUUUCCGUUUGUGAAGCCAUCCACCCC